GACAGAGGGUGCAAACGUUGUUCGGAAUUACUGGGCGUAAAGCGCGUGUAGGCGGUCCGGUAAGUCCGCUGUGAAAGUCGGGGGCUCAACCCUCGGAUGCCAGUGGAUACUGUCGGGCUUGAGUACGGAAGAGGCGAGUGGAAUUCCUGGUGUAGCGGUGAAAUGCGCAGAUAUCAGAAGGAACAUCAGUGGCGAAGGCGGCUUUCUGGACCAAUACUGACGAUCAGGUGCGAAAGCGUGGGGAGCAAACAGG
This 253-nucleotide ribosomal RNA is filed under the name uncultured bacterium. Its description in RNAcentral is "partial 16S ribosomal RNA". It matches the Rfam family "Bacterial small subunit ribosomal RNA", at positions 524 to 776 of the family's 1533-position model. The record is from RNAcentral.